Long non-coding RNA from Cyprinus carpio carpio, 847 nucleotides. The record is from Ensembl. Lineage: Eukaryota; Metazoa; Chordata; Actinopteri; Cypriniformes; Cyprinidae.
AGAAGGUAAAAGAAACAAUGUGGUUUAAGUCAAGGUGAAAAUAGAUAUGAAAAUAGAUAACUAAUAUAGUUUCCCUUCUUCACAUUAUGUGUGAUAACUUGAGAAAUAUGUUGUCAAUACUAUUAAAAUGAGAAAAAAACGUAAUGGUACUUAGGGGAUUACAGUUUUUGCAUAAAUACUAUAUUGGGCUUUAUUAAAGUUUAUGAAAAUAGAAUGCAUGUAUAUGCAUUUUAUAUUUAUGCACAUAAAUGAAACAUUUUCAAAUCUCUGAACAGAUAUUGAAGUAUUAGCUAUCCUGUGGCGCCAUCGUGUGGAUAUCAUUAGCAUUGUGGCCUUCAUUUCUGAACAACAUUAUGAAAGGGGCCAAUAUUUUUUGAAUGAUUACAAAUGUUUAAUGAUUAGUUCACUGAUAAUAUACCCACAUUAAAAUCGAAUUUACUGAUUCUGUAUCUUAUUUCAUGCUUUAAGAGUUUAUUUUUCAACUUACAUUUUCAAGUAGUGAUGAAUGAUAACUAUGUGAGUUGAUAAAUUAUUUUUUUGCAAUUAUAAUACAUAAACUAUAUAAUGAUGACAAAAUUACAACAGUUAUUUUUUUCAUAAUAUUUAUUAUUGACAAUACAAAAUAUAGACAUAUAAAAAAAGCUGCCAAGACGAAUGAUUUGUCUUGCACCGAAAAGCCAGAAUCAGCGUCCUCUGUAACUCGAGAGAUCGAUGCAAUGUCUUUUUCUGCCCUAAGACAAAAAAAAAAAAUAUCUCACAAGCACUCAUUUUAAUCUCUAUAAUAUAUUCUUCUAAUUGUUUUGUACUGAUUCACUGGAGAGUUUUAAUGUAAAAGGCUGUAGUUUCA